GGUUGGCAAGAAUUUGAGCUUAAAAUGUUUAAUUAGCAAACGUACAUAAAAUAACUUACUUUGUUGAAUGACAGCGCUCUCACCACACGCGACAGCAACUCUUCAGCUCUCUUCGGAAGUGAACUGUGAAAACAACUCAUCAAGAAACCAAUGAAAACGGCGCAACAAUAUCAAAGAACCAAUCGCAAGAGGGAUUGUUGAAAGGCGAAGACGCCAUUUUGGUCUGUUCAAACGUCGGACAAGCGAAAUAGCGUUGUUUUUUGAGGUCAUGGAAUAUAUUUUUACUCUUCUUUUCGCUUCUAGCAGUUAGUAUACCUAAUAAAUUACGAAAGUUCAGCAGGUUAACUGUUUGUGUUGAACCGAACCUAUUCGCGAUGGACAGCCGGUCGGCAGGUGGCGCAUUGCGGAGGGCGGAUGUUUUCAGAUUAAUGUUAACGUUAGCGUCGUCAGUUUAAUUUAAGGUGCAGCACAUGCGAAAGUAGAAUUGGAGUAGGUGUCUGUGUGAUAUAACUUGAAGACGAAUUAGAUCUACUACAUAUUCCUGGCAGAAGUACAGUUAACUUGAACUAUUUAGCUUUUAUCCGUCACAAACAGCUCCAACGGCUGUGUAACUGAUUUCUGUAUUUUGAAAAUCCAGCCACCGGAAGUAUUAUUUAUCAUUAUAUCUUGCUUGACAGUGGUCACACAGGCACAUCAGCUGUACAAGCGAGGGGAAUACUGACCCAAUUAACUGUACAUGGGACAACAGCGACGACACAUCACUGCGACCGACCGAAGUACCAUUUUCUCUAACUCAGUGAGAAGAAGCUGUGCGUGGGACUUGGUGUCAUUACAGAGAAAGCUCCACCAACCUGUCUGCCUAGAAGCCAAUACAGAGCUGACAAGUGCGCUAUUGAAUGCUGCAACUGAGAGAGAGGAAGAGGAGGAAAACAUAGCCAAAGAGAGAGAGCGAGAACUUGUCCUUUCUGCAUAUAAGGGAACUUUUGGACACAGAGAUCAUUGUUUUGCAGAAGCUUCUCAUGGGAAAAGGAGCUAUUGAAAUGUCUGUAAUGACUGAGCUUUCAUCAGCCCAGGUGACCGAGUGUACCUGAGCGUUACGUACUCAAAAUCACCAUCAGCCUGUGGGCAUUUGCUGUGCAGUUAAAAGGCAAAUCUAUGGUGACUUCAGCGUGGAGGAAAAAAACAUUACUGAAUCCCUCCUAUUUUUGUCUGGAUUAUUUUUAUCUUUAGCUUUUUUCCCCCCUGUUUUAGUGGCUUACCUGUGAGAGAAAAAGAAGCGCAGAAGGGCAAAUGACUGUUUGUGGAUUUGGAACUUACUGAGCUGUUGAUUAUAGCACAGAACAAGGCUGCUGGGACUCUGCAUCAUCUGUGUGCAGGAAGGCAGAGUCACAUAUCGAGGCACACCAUGCAGUGUACUGUUUGAGCAGCUGAGUCUGUUUAGGCCCUGGAGGCGGCCAUGUUGGAUCUUUUCCUCAGAGUGUUGGUGUUGAUCCGUCUUCACCCGUCACCUCACGGCACCUUGCUGCCAACCUAACUCUUCGCUCCCUCUCUCUUCCCGCAUCGCUUUCUUCCACCGCCUGGCCGGGAGAAAGGUCCUUGUGGAAAAUGUCCUAUGCACACCACAAGCUGCUUACCUGGAGCUUACCUCAACUCCUCCUCCUACCACUGACCUUCCUCUGGCUCUUGGCUCCUACCACAGGUGUGUCAGCAAAUCUCUGCCGGGUGGCCGGCGGGGUGCUGGGGAUCCACUGGAGUAGCACCAUCACCAUGGGUUGGCACCCUAUGGCAGACGGGAGAGGCGGGGCGACAUGUUGGGAGUCCUGCUGCUUGAAUCCGAGCUGCAAUGCUGUGUGGAGCCUUGGCGGGCGAUGUGUGCUUCUCAGCUGCACGCUGAAAAGUGGCUGCCCAAUCUCCUUCCUGCCGCAGCCCCACCAGGAGUCCCUUGGUCUCCUUCAGCUUCUCA
This is a long non-coding RNA of Micropterus dolomieu (smallmouth bass), 1963 nucleotides long. RefSeq lists it as uncharacterized. The record is from RefSeq and is a predicted model, not a curated record. NCBI's taxonomy places the organism in Eukaryota, Metazoa, Chordata, Actinopteri, Centrarchiformes, Centrarchidae. The transcript is spliced from 5 exons.